AUGAUGGACCUGCUAAAACUGAUUAGCACAGACUUGCGUGCUGGAAACCAGAGCUGGGGAUGCAGCGCUCUGAAGUGGAAAUGUCUGGAAAACUCUGAGGCUGUGGGAUCCCGGAGGAACAUGUGGUUCCCCUCUGUCAGCUGCUGUCAGGCUCUGAGAAGCCAAAAGAAGUCACAAGUGAAGAGGACAGCCAGAAAGAAAAUAUCAGAUUUGGAAGGAAUAAAGAGUCGGCCUAUGACCUGGUACUGUGACCCAGAGACAACUUUGUGGGGUAGGGGUAUUGCUAGAGAGGAUUUGGGGAGAAAACGAUCACAAUCACAGUUACUGUGCCAUUUUUCUGUAAAUAAAAGGGAUUCCAUUAAAGAGGUAUUUGUCUCCAUCAGCUAUUUUUUUGUGACUGAAAAAAUACAGAAGACCACACUGUUUUAGCUAUCUGCUUGAGUCAGAAAGGGUAACAGGAAAUAUACUAGUGUUGCAUCAUUCCUAUGCUAAAAAUCUUUGACCAUAAAAUGUGGAUGAGAAAAGAAACCAGAAACUAAUUAAAAGGAAAGACCUAGAAAACUAGAAACUCCAUGUUUACUUUCCAGCAAUUAUACCCCCAAAUACUUUUUUUCACAGCCUUUCAUUUGCCUCUUUUUUAGAAAUCGCUGAUCCGACCCAUCACCCAAUUAUUUUCAGACUAAAAGACUUCUCAGUAAAUCUUUUCUGAGCUGUUCCUGUCACAGUUGCAGUUUGUUAGCAAUCUGGUCCUUUUAUUUUCAUUUCGUACUUGUGUGCUUCCUGUUGAAGAUAAAAUCUAGGGGGAUGAUUUAGAAUGCAUAUUGUGGUCAAUCAAAUGUAACUUUGCUGACUUCAGUGACUUAAGCGUUGACUUUCCUAACCUGUGCAAGGUCCUGAGUUGGAGAGGUCUUUUUGGGAUGCUAUUAUCUUUCAUGGACUUUGAAAUGGUUCACUAAAACCUAUGGGCUUAUGCUGGGUUAACCUUGGUUAAGGGCCAAAUUUCCCCUCAGCCAUUUUUUCACCCACCCAUCCUGAAAAGGACAGGGGAGAAAACAGGGUGAAAAAACUCAUGGGUCAAGAUAAAGACAGGAAGAUCGCUUAACACUUACCAUCAAGGGCAAAACAGAUUGGAUUUGGGGUACAGUAAUUUAUAUAUAAUUGUCAGUUAAGAUAGGUAUGGAUAGUGAAAAACAAGGACAAUUUAAACACAUCCCCUUUUCCUCAUAGAAUCAUAGAAUAUCCGAGUUGGAAGGGACUCACAAGGAUCAUCAAGUCCAACCCCUGAAUGUUCAAUGUUUCCCCUUCAUCCUGACCCCUCUGCCCCAGCAACACAGGGGAUGGGAUGGGAUGGGAUGGGAUGGGAUGGGAUGGGAUGGGAUGGGAUGGGAUGGGAUGGGAUGGGGGCUGCGCUCAACCCUCCCAGCCCCUC
Long non-coding RNA from Anser cygnoides (Swan goose), 1429 nucleotides. The record is from Ensembl. NCBI's taxonomy places the organism in Eukaryota, Metazoa, Chordata, Aves, Anseriformes, Anatidae.